GUAGGUAUAGCUCAGUGGUAGAGCACAUGCUUAGCAUGCAGGAUGUCAUGGGUUCGAUCCCCAGUACCUCCA
Molecule: transfer RNA, 72 nt
Filed under: Camelus bactrianus (Bactrian camel)
Lineage: Eukaryota; Metazoa; Chordata; Mammalia; Artiodactyla; Camelidae
Also listed under: 2 other names
Rfam family: tRNA
About the family: Transfer RNA (tRNA) molecules are approximately 80 nucleotides in length. Their secondary structure includes four short double-helical elements and three loops (D, anti-codon, and T loops).
Source: Rfam by way of RNAcentral